This 342-nucleotide ribosomal RNA is filed under the name Matileola sp. DK-2014. RNAcentral's name for it is "partial 16S ribosomal RNA". Lineage: Eukaryota; Metazoa; Arthropoda; Insecta; Diptera; Keroplatidae. The record is from RNAcentral.
UUUUUUAAUUAAAAACUUGUAUGAAAGGUUGAAUGAAAUAUUAACUAUUUUAUGAAAAUUUAAUUAAAAUUUUAUUUUUUAGUUAAAAAGCUAAAAUUUUAUUAUAGGACGAGAAGACCCUAUAGAAUUUUAUAAUUAUAAAAUUAUAAUUUAUAUAGUAUAAUUUAAUUUUUAUUUAUUAAAUUAUUUUAUUGGGGUGAUAGUAUAAUUUAAUUAACUUAUAAUUUUUAUAACAUUAUUUUAUGAUUUUAUUGAUUUUGUUUUUAUAAAUUAAAAGAUUAAAUUACCUUAGGGAUAACAGCGUAAUUUUAUUUUUAAGUUCUUAUUUAUAAUAAAGAUUGC